RNAcentral lists this transfer RNA (69 nucleotides) under Acidaminococcus fermentans. It matches the Rfam family "tRNA". Rfam says of the family: Transfer RNA (tRNA) molecules are approximately 80 nucleotides in length. Their secondary structure includes four short double-helical elements and three loops (D, anti-codon, and T loops). Lineage: Bacteria; Bacillati; Bacillota; Negativicutes; Acidaminococcales; Acidaminococcaceae. RNAcentral also lists the same sequence under 4 other names. The record is from RNAcentral.
CGGAAGUAGCUCAGUGGUAGAGCAUCACCUUGCCAAGGUGGGGGUCGCGAGUUCGAAUCUCGUUUUCCG